GUUUGAUCAUGGCUCAGGAUGAACGCUGGCGGCGUGCUUAACACAUGCAAGUCGAACGAACCUUCGGGUUAGUGGCGGACGGGUGAGUAACGCGUGAGAAUCUGCCCUCAGGAGGGGGAUAACGGUUGGAAACGACCGCUAAUACCCCAUAUGCCUACUGGUGAAACGAAUUUCGCCUGAGGAUGAGCUCGCGUCUGAUUAGCUAGUUGGUGAGGUAAUGGCUCACCAAGGCUUCGAUCAGUAGCUGGUCUGAGAGGAUGAUCAGCCACACUGGGACUGAGACACGGCCCAGACUCCUACGGGAGGCAGCAGUGGGGAAUUUUCCGCAAUGGGCGAAAGCCUGACGGAGCAACGCCGCGUGAGGGACGAAGGCCUCUGGGCUGUAAACCUCUUUUCUCAAGGAAGAAGAUAUGACGGUACUUGAGGAAUAAGCCACGGCUAAUUCCGUGCCAGCAGCCGCGGUAAUACGGGAGUGGCAAGCGUUAUCCGGAAUUAUUGGGCGUAAAGCGUCCGCAGGCGGCUUUUCAAGUCUGCUGUUAAAGCGUGGAGCUUAACUCCAUCAUGGCAGUGGAAACUGAAAGGCUUGAGUAUGGUAGGGGCAGAGGGAAUUCCCGGUGUAGCGGUGAAAUGCGUAGAUAUCGGGAAGAACACCAGUGGCGAAGGCGCUCUGCUGGGCCAUUACUGACGCUCAUGGACGAAAGCCAGGGGAGCGAAAGGGAUUAGAUACCCCUGUAGUCCUGGCCGUAAACGAUGAACACUAGGUGUCGGGGGAAUCGACCCCCUCGGUGUCGUAGCUAACGCGUUAAGUGUUCCGCCUGGGGAGUACGCACGCAAGUGUGAAACUCAAAGGAAUUGACGGGGGCCCGCACAAGCGGUGGAGUAUGUGGUUUAAUUCGAUGCAACGCGAAGAACCUUACCAGGGUUUGACAUCCUGCGAACCUCUUAGAAAUUUGAGGGUGCCUUCGGGAAUGCAGUGACAGGUGGUGCAUGGCUGUCGUCAGCUCGUGUCGUGAGAUGUUGGGUUAAGUCCCGCAACGAGCGCAACCCACGUUUUUAGUUGCCAGCAUUUAGUUGGGCACUCUAGAAAGACCGCCGGUGAUAAACCGGAGGAAGGUGUGGAUGACGUCAAGUCAUCAUGCCCCUUACACCCUGGGCUACACACGUACUACAAUGCUACGGACAAAGGGCAGCAAACUCGCGAGAGCUAGCAAAUCCCAUAAACCGUGGCUCAGUUCAGAUCGUAGGCUGCAACUCGCCUACGUGAAGUAGGAAUCGCUAGUAAUCGCAGGUCAGCAUACUGCGGUGAAUACGUUCCCGGGCCUUGUACACACCGCCCGUCACACCAUGGAAGUUGGCCAUGCCCGAAGUCGUUACUCCAACCCUUGUGGAGGAGGACGCCGAAGGUGGGGCUAAUGACUGGGGUGAAGUCGUAACAAGGUAGCCGUA
This 1446-nucleotide ribosomal RNA is filed under the name uncultured bacterium. Its description in RNAcentral is "16S ribosomal RNA". It matches the Rfam family "Bacterial small subunit ribosomal RNA". The record is from RNAcentral.